GGCCUCUCUGCAUCGGAAACUGGAGCGGCAUGACUUUUGUUAGAACUCCUCUUCUUCUUCUCCUCCUCCUCUCCCCCCUUUCUCUCCCUCUACCUCCCCCUCUCUCUCCCUCUCUCUCUCGCUCUCACUCUGCAGUCUGCCGCGAGGCUGUCCGUCUUUCACUGCGGAUACCGCGAGGGGAGGCCGAGGAAGACACCGAGAGGAGGAAGAGGAGAACCGGAUGGUCGUGAGGACGGGAAGUCACGUGCCAAAGAAAUAAGUCUGAUUUGCACCUGAGAAGCUCUCCGGCUCCACGCUGGGCCUGAAAUGGGACCCUAGUCACUGUGGCCCCUUGGAGUUUGCGUAGUCCUCUCGAGUCCCACCUGAUCACCUACAUUUUUCCUGCAUGUCACAAGUUUAUUCCUCACGGGCCGGGAGGGACAGAUGGGACUGGAGGUGGGACUACAGGGAAAGGAGAGUGAGCAGUCACGCCGCAUGACGACGCACUGCACGCCUGUAUAGAACAAACAGGCAAAGAAAUCCGUACCAGACCGGGAUGUGUGUAGCAAAUCACACGCUACAUGACAUGCAUCUGACGGGGAACAAGAGGAAUUUGUUACGCUCUAACACUUGAGAAAAGAUGGGAAGGAGAUGGAAGGAGGAGGAAAGAACACAAAUCUGAGAGAGGGAAUUGCCUAUUUUUUCAUCACAGAUUAUUUUAGGGGGUGAAUGCCAUUCCUGAGUUGACUAAAAACGAGCCAAACAAAAUAUGGAAUAUUCUGAAUUUACGAACUGCAUUGUGGUAGGAAAAAAAAAGCAGAAACAUGUGUGUCGCCCCCCCCCAUCACCCAGUCGCUGUUUGUUCCUUAAUGCAGCAGCUGGUAUUAGUCUCUCAAAAGGCCCGGCUGUGUCUGCCAUCCUACUUGCCUCACAUAUUCUUUUCUACGGCUUAUCAGUCGGAAAGCCAGGGGAGCUGUCCAGUCUCAUUCUCUCACUGGAGAGCACAUGUCAGGACCUAUUUGCCACUGGUUACUUUGAGAGUGACAUCAGCGAUGACCCCUUGACCCCGGCUGACGGAGAAAUGCUUCUGCAAUAGUUUUCCAUUACAGAGGCGAGAGAGCGCGGACACCAGACGGAUAUGUGAAAUGAGAAAAUAGGAAAACUGGAAAAGGCAUUUAGACCUGUAUUUGACCUAUCAUGUUUCGGCUUUCUGCGGCAGGCUUUUAUGAAAUGAGUAUUUGACCCAUUAACAAAUCCUUUGUCGUUUCUCUCGGAUGUUUUCCACGACCGCCAUGCGACGGCUAUUACAGAGGACAAAGCAGGGGUCAUCACAACGACACACAUAGCAGCGAUUCACUCGGCUUUCUCUUUUUUUUAGUGUCUUGAUGACGUGUAUCUGCUUGUCAGUCUGGCUAUGUGAGGAUCAGCCUCAGACGUAUCUGUAGAGUCUCGUAUUAAGGGACAAAUUGUUGCGACUGAGCUUUCGACAUGCCUCUCAACAGGUUGGAGACCAGCGUUUUUAUAUAGAUCUGAGCUGAGCUGAGUGGACGGCGAUGUUUGUUCAUCCAGGGGCACGCUGCUGCAGAUUGCCAUUGCAGCUUUUCAGUGCAACAAUGACUGUCGUCACACCAGCCGAAUCCCUUAUAGAUUUCAUUAUCUGAAAUAGAAGCAGUGAGGAUGAAAAGCACCUGUGAACAGAAUGUAACAGAAGCGUGAUAUCUCAGUAUUGAUCAUAUAUUAGCCUUUUUUAUUAUAAAUACAGCCAAAUAAUGUUGUUUUAAUAUUCGCUACAUUAAACUUGUCCUUCUAUUAAAACACCAGUUUGCCAUUUUUCUAAACGCAUUCAUCCGCUGUCUUCCAGAGAGUGAAAUGAUUACUAUCAGAUUAACAUCACUCUUGUGUCCGUACACAACAGCCCUAUUCUAAGUUUAGCAUUAUUAUUGGUUAAUGUUGAAAAAUCCGAUAUCGUGAAUCAAUGGUUCUGUUUUCUCUUUAUUUUUGGAUAAAAACGCUAUAGAAAAAUGACCUUACAGUUGUUUACUUGCUGGAAUGUACCUUUUAGGAACCUUUUAUUUUAGCUUAUUCCAUUUGUGGUGAAGACAUGUCACAUGUCACUAAUCAAUACGAAAUGUAUAAUCCCUGUAGGAGUUUGUGCUGCAUUUUCUUGUGUCAGAGUAACUGCCACCAAAGAGAACAACAUUCCCUCUGGUUGUGCUGACUAUGCAAAGCACAGAUUAUACGACACAUCAGCUCAACCAUCAGAUCCCUGGUUUUGACACAGCAAUAUAGUCUCUGACACUUGUAAAUCUAUUAUAUAAAUCGUAUUAAUAGCAUCUGUGCCGCCCCAUCAAAGUGUGAUUGACAAAUUACCCGCUGUAAACCGUGCAGGAUGAAGGAAACUGCGCGGGAAGAUGUCCAUUUAGAGCACUGAUUUAUGUAAUAUGACAGGGAUGCGUUGAUGGGGGCACUGCUGCCUUAUCACCCAUUAUGCUUCCCCACAGCUCAUAAAGACAUAUGUCAGCACGCGAAAGCUUCGCAGGUCAGUGUGAAGAGACGGGAAGCGUUCCAGCUAGUCCACUGCUGGCCUUUGCCUUCGUGAUAAAUUGCAUUUAUGAAAGCUGCAAUUACCUGAUUACCGCUCUGGCUCCCACUCACUAGCAGGACUCAUCACGGCCCUGUAAUUUCAUUCAAAUUCCCCAUGAACCUUCAUCCGCAGUGUCAACACAACUGCUAUUGUGACCCUAUUGAGUGUAAGUAAUGUCCUCUGGGGUCAUCACAGUAGUAAGUGAAAUAAUAAGCUGUUUCUUAACGUGAACGUCAGAGGUGAAUAGACGGACAGAUAUUAGAGGUAUGAACAUUGCAAUCAGGAUGUCUCCUCCUUCGCCGCUGGAGGAUGUGACAGGUGCUUGCUGCAUGCUGGGGGGUGAUGUAAGCAGCAGACAUUGUGACAUACCCCCCCCCUCCCCAGACCAUCUCCACCACGAGACCCACAGUAAGAUAGCGGGCGUAUUAUCAUUUUUCCGUUUCUCCUUUUCCAACGGCCAAACUGACCUCCCCAGACCUCCCGACGCUCUCGCUCCUGCAUCCUCGGACCGGCUGCACCCCGAGGGCUCACGAAACAAUUUAACUGCUGGGCCGGAAUGGGCCCUCCCACGGUCCACCAUCUCUCGCACAGCGUGGAAGCGCCACUUCUAAUUCUGCCUCCACACACGGAGCUUAAGAUUUUUAUACGGCGCUAAACUCUUCCAUUGCAUCAAAGGUGAUCAAGUAACAACGACUGUGUUUUCCAUCUCCAGGAGGCGCCUCUCGACGUGAGCGCUGGGGAGUGUGAGGUUGAUUUCCUCACGCAUUCAUAAAUUCAUUAGUCUAAACUUUUCAGUGUAUCAGUUACAUUAGGCCUCAUUAACUUCUUUUUUCCUGCUUUAUAUUAGCUAAUUAGCUCAGGGGUGGCCACAAAUUAAUUACCAACUUCUACACCCUCAUGCAAUUGCAUUGUGCUUAUUUAGUCUCUCCUAUUAACUUUUAAUCUUUUCCUACUCGUAAAAACAGGCAAUUAACAUUUUUUGAUAAACAAAAACUAUGCUAUCUCAGGGAUAAUCAGCAGCGCUGCAUGUCGUCCUGACAAAAUUACCCUGUCAGCUAAUUUGACCCUCGAACCGUCCUCAGUCCAGACUGGCUGGUUGAAAAACAGCAUGUGACAAAAGCGUGACCUUUGUUUUUCCUUUUUUUCUUCUUUUCUUUUCUCCAGCACUAAUUUCCUUGCAAACAACGCAGAUUCGUGUGCGGCAGAUUUCACAUGACAGACGCCAAUCGCCGUGUUUUAGAAAAGGGAGAUUUCCGUUCUCCCUUUUGCUCGGUGUGAGCGCGGCAAUCCGGUAAAAUGACAGCGGAACAGUGAGCGCGGACGUACUGCAGAAAGUCUUCAAUUCUCCUCAGUGUAUUUCAAUAAACACACACAAUGGCUGCUUCAUUAACCCAUUGAUUCAUUAAUGCAGCCAUCAUUCUUCCUCAUAUUCACAGGGCGCAAACACCGACGAUACGAAAGGCAACAGCAAUGAUAACUCCAGUCGCGGUCGAAUUCCUGUUAAGGCACCAGGCGGCCAUCCGCUUUGAUAAAGAGGCUCAUUUAUACGCCGUCUCCCAGCACACGGUCAUCCUUCUCCAUAUUCUGUCUAUUGACCCGGGUUGUUCCUUUUAUUACAAGCAGGUUUUUUAUUGAAGGAUGAUUACAUUGAAUGAUGUCAAGCGAGGGGAGAAAAGAUCGACCAGAAUAAUGACGUUCCGGAGAGGGAGAACGCGAUGGGGAUGGGCGGAGGGGUCGAUGGCUGCGGCUCGCCCUGUCUCUCUGUGCGGCCCCGCAAAUUGAGUCGCUUCCUUGCUCAUCCAUUAUUUAAGGCCGAUAGGACUCCCUUGGCAACUAUGGAUUUGAUAAUCAUUCCCAUGUCCAUAUUAAAUAUGUGACAUAAAUAUCACAGUAGGGGCUUGUCAAUAAGAGCAGCAGUGUGAAACCGGGGCGUAAAAGAGAAACUAAUGUAUGGAUAUGAGGCGGAGAGGAGAUGAGGAGCUUGUGCCGAGGUUUUCCUGCAUCCGCACAACUUCCAGUCUCCUGAAUAAGUAGGCAACACAUUAAUUAAUGUGUUUUUCAGAGAUUCUCUGUAUUCCUGCACUGCCGUUUCAGUCUAUAAAAUACCAUGACACUGCCAUCAUUCCAAGCUUACCUUAUCUUCAUUUCUUAUUAGCUCAUUUUAGCAAGCUAAGCUAAGAAGGUAACCGUAAUCAAUAUAAUUUUAAAUAAUUGUGAGAAUGCCCGGUGCCAGUACGGCCACCAACAGCGUGCUGAUGAAAGCUCAUGGAUGAGAGGCUCCACACGCCACGCUGUCACAAGCACGUGCCGCUCGUCCCUUUGCGCGGUGAUACAGUUGGCGGUUGUAGUUUGACUGAAUGAAAAUGGUUCCUACGUGAAACUGCUCACAGCAAAGUCUCUGGAUUAACUUGAGUAACCGAAUUGUUGAUUUCUGGGAAGUUUCAUUUUUCAAAUGCAUUUUUCUGGAGCUUUAAACACAAAAAAGUGUCGCUUGGUGAUGCCACAAAGGUGAUAUCUCCAACACUUCUCACACAAAAGGCAUCAUUUUAAAGGAGGACUUUCACCUACGCAUUGGCUGGAUAUUCAGCAAACCUUUACUGUUUAUGAUUAAUAAGUUAUUUCCGAUACAAUACCAGAAUGUGCUAUCGAAUUCGGCAAUAAAGGCUAAAAUAGAAUAUCUAUUCAUACAAACACGUCUUUGUGGGCAAAGGAGCUGUGCGCAACUGUAAAAAGAGGGUGUCGGGUUGUAAGUCACCACAUAAAUAAAGGUGGAGAAAGGGCCGAUAACAAGAACCAGCAUCUGCCGAGCAGGCGGGCAGUAUGUCUCCUUUCUGGACUCUUUGUCUCUUGUGAUUUUCUCCAGCUGCUGCCCAUGAAUACUGGCCUAUGCGCUCUAGAUUAAAGCACAACACAUGUUUCUCUGCAGGCUAGAUUAUAUAUCAUCCCCUGAUAACCAAUGACAAAACGCUCCUACAUAUUGUCCCAGAGCAGAGACCAAGGGAGGAAAAAACACGUUUGGACGGGAGAUAUUGGUUACCCAGCUGUUAGACUUCUGGACCGAAAAGACAGACUUGUUAAUUUAUGUUGACAUGAAUAUAUUCUUAUGCCGUUUCCUUCACCUUAUCAUAUAGUACUUAUCGAGUUGCUUCUAUUCUGCGAGGGCUGCAAACACACACACACACACACACACACAACAGAGUGUCCAAACUCUUCUUCAACCACUUUUCUUUAGCAACAGCAGAUGAGCACUUAUCUUCCACCGGCCUUUAGCAGAAGACGCGCACAGCGCGUCAAGCUGAUUGACACCACCCCGGCAGCGGUCUAUGUGUCUUGCCACUGAGCAUGUUGGAUGUCACAAGGGUUUGUUGGUUGGUUUGGUCUUUUUCUCAGCUUCGGCCUGAUGUCAGUGAGGGUGAAGUGAAGUCUGAGCUCUUCCGAGGAUCACUCUCUUGUGCUUACUUUGGACCUCUUGAGGAUGACAGUGAUUCAGUGCUGCUCAGUGAACAGGAUGCUCUUUCAUCCUUUUCUGUCUGGGUGGCCCCGCGGCUGCCCUUUCCACUGUGGGGGUAAGUUACCCAUCAUGUUAAAGGGGCAAAGCAGCACCAUCUGAUCUUGUACUGUAUUUAAGCAAUAAGGCUCGAGAGGCUGUACCAGUGUUAAUUUCGUGGACGAAAACUAUGACGAAAAUUUUUCGUUAACGAACCUUUUUCCCAUGACUAAGACGA
Gasterosteus aculeatus aculeatus (three-spined stickleback) is the source of this 6288-nucleotide non-coding RNA. The record is from RefSeq and is a predicted model, not a curated record. NCBI's taxonomy places the organism in Eukaryota, Metazoa, Chordata, Actinopteri, Perciformes, Gasterosteidae.